CUUUGCAGAUAGCGGGGAGCCAUUCACGGCCCAGCGUUUCCUUGUUGUUGCAAAAAUGUGUUUAGACCCAACCUACCUUAUCCACCAAUCACAGGAGAGCGUUUCCUCCCACUGUAUCUCCAGCUCAUCCACGGCUUCACGAGGAGAAGGUAAAAAGAUUUACGGUUUUUUUUAACACGAAGAGACGGUAAACAGUCGACUGUAUUGUCGCCUUCCCACCUGCCGCCAUGUUUUUACUGACGCGUAGGACUUAAGAACCUAUUUUAGGUGAUAUUAAACAUUUUUUGUUAGACCCUAUUGCUGUUCGCUUUGUGCUGAAGCUUGUUUUCAGUUGAUACUAACCAGUUACAAAGUGACGCUAAACGAUGAGAUAAGACAAUAAGAGCUGGAGAUGGAUGAGGGAGCCGUCGGAGUAGAUUAUUCCAUCUGGAAUCUCCUGAAAUCUACAGCCACAGCCAUCCUGCUCAGGAAGAGCAACGAUGAUGUUAAGCUUGGACUUUGCUUCACUUUUUGGACAGUGAUAUCAUUUAGCUUUGAUUUACUGUUAAAAAUGUAGACAGUGCGGUGUUUUCAGUCGAUUUAAAAAGUCUUUCUCGCCUUAUUUCUCCACAAAUGGGGUGUAGAAUUAUCCUAGCAAAUGCGGGUAUGGCAGAUAUGAUAAACGAAAACAUCAUUUAGACAAGUUAUGAUUUGUGAGUAGGAACGCAGCAAUAUGCUCUUACCCUAAAGGGAAAUUUUCUCUUAUUGUCUACCUUCUGCUGCGGGAGGUCUCCAUCAUCCUAAUGAUGUAGGCUCCCCUUUACUAUCAAAAAGCGUAAAUAGAGAUCCUUUCUUGUGCCGUUUAGGAUGCAGCACCAUUAUUAGCCUCAUACUCAUACCAUAAUGAAGAUGAAGAAAGAUCAAUUUUAUUUGUACUCUGCAGCAAUGAAAGUAAAUUUCUCGUUCUUUCCACAGGCGAAUACUGAGUGGCUUCCUUCAGAGUUCAGCCUCCCCUCUCUCUCUUCUUCUGUGGUGCUUUAAAGGAGCGAUUUAAAUCCGCAAGUAUUCAUCAACAGAUUUUUUUGAAAUCGAAACUCGUUUACAUGCAUUAGACGUCCCGAGCCUCGUCCUCGGGCUUACAGCUAUUUUUUUUUUUUCUUUCCUUUUUUGUGUUUUGCAGCAGAUAUUACAGCUGUUUAGCGAACCGAUAGUUAUCCCGACUGGUUGCGCUUAUUGCUCAAGAAGAGGAAACAAUGGGGACACUUGAUUUUUACAGCCUGCGUCUGGUGAUCCUUUUGCCUUUUUCUUUUACUUUUUUUCUUGUUUAUCUGCAUGUUUUUAAGCAAAUUCUUCCUUUUCAAGGGGUUUACUUGGAUGCUGUCCCCAGAGAUUACCAAUGCUUAGCUGAUCAGCUCUCAUCUUGUGCCUUUUGUGACGUUAUCAAACCUAAUCUAAUCAUACCAGAUUUUUUUGAUUUUUUUUUUUAUUUCUUUUGGUUAUUAAGAACUGUAUGUUGUAAAACCCUGCAGUACAAAUCCAUGCUUCUUUUAUUUCCAGUUUUAUUGUCAGUGAAAACAAAAAUACGCCAUUGGACGCCAUUUUUAAUGGAAACAACGAGAACAUGCGCAGAAGACGUUUUCUCAGCGUUUUAUUGAGAGCUUUCAGGCACGAACAGGAGAAGAUGAACAUUACGCUGCAUUUGUGUCGAGAUCAAAAUGGUGCAACUUUCAAGUGUUUCUAGCAAGCUCUUCCCUCUCACCGUGACAUAAGCUAAUAACACGGUGUGAAUGAAUAACAUAAACAGGGCUUGCUAUUAACUAAACUACGUCGGAAGUCAAAAAGAAAAAAAACUUACAGGUUACAUCUACUAUAGAAAUCCUCGUCUAUUCACUGACACAUAUUUGUCAUUUUUCUUCUUAGAAACGGGGAGCAAAAACCAUCUCUCGUGUGAAUGGGCUAAUUGAAACAGGUAGGCCCUUAAGGAAUGGAGGUCACUUUAUCUGUAGACCUUGCUCCACUCAGAGGGAGUCAAUAAUCACUGCUGACACGUCCCAGGGGCCUCGCAGUGUUCUGCAUUCAUCCGUACAGGUUCAGAGAUAAGUCGUAAGGUUCCAAGGUAAAUGACAUGUUGAGGUGACACGAGGUUCAAACUGUGCAGUGUUUUUCAAUAAAGAUUUAAUUAGGUCUUUAUGUGGUAAUUGAGGUUUUUAAAUCUUGCUUUCCAGUUGCUUAUACUGAGCGUUCUUACAGAACUGUUGAAAGUUACUGUUCCUUAAAGGGAAAUUUGCCAUCAACACCUUCUACCAUCUCUGAGCAGGUGCAAGUGGAGGAAAGGAAGGCAAAGGCGGGUACUUGCCUUGAUUUUGUGGGUAAAUAUUUUGUUUUGUGAUCUCGGUCCCAUCCGUACAUUAAGGCUACUCAGUGCAACUGGUAUGGUGACAGUAGCUCAGCAUAUGUAGAGUGGAAUGUAAAGACUGGGAGGGGACUUGCGUUGUUUGGAGUUUAUUUAGAAAUUUGAUGCAGAAGUUAAUGAAAUCCUUCACAGUUGAUAGAAUUUAAAUAGUUUGAAGCUCAGAAAGUAAAUAAAAUCAAGGACCACAUCUAGAUUUGACAUCUACCCCCUACGUUCAACACUUUUGUUGUACAAAAGUAAACAUUAAACAGAUACGUAUACUAAGAGCUACGAACAAGACUUUUUCUGACAGCAGGAAGCCAUUGAAAACACUACAAAUGUUGGCUUAAAACAAAAACUGGUGAGAGAUUAAGAUACAAACAUCACUUCUGAUCUGAUUAUGUUGAAAUAGUAGACAUGUUAUUCUGUGUGCCCUGCUGGUCUUCUUUUAUAACAGAAAUACUUUUAAUACGGUGAUACAGACCGAAAUCUAACGUUUGAUGCAUGUCAAAUGAGAAAUUUAAUUGUGUCAUGAAAACUAGAUAUCGAAAGGAGUUUAUGACAUUUUUUUCAAAUUAAAAAUGGUGCUUGAAUGCAUCACAAAAGGCUUUGUUUUGCCUUUUUUUUUUUUUCAACUGUAAGCUAAAUUGUGUCAACCUGGGAAAGUAAUUUGCCAUAAAUUUGAGAAUAUGCUUAUAAUGACUUUUAUGCAAACCAAAAAGGGGGGGAAAAAAAGAAUUAUCACAGCAUAUAACGGCUUUCUGGAUCCAAACAAAUUUGUGAAAACAGCCUAAAUACUGGCUUUCAUAUUUCUUAAGAAUAAAAUUCAUGCGCUAUUACACUUACAAACUUUUGAUCUUGCAAACGUACCAUUUUUGCAUAAUUUUUAAGUUUCAGAUCCUGUGAACAACAGCUUCAUAUUUAUUAAAACAAAAACAAUUAAAUGCAUUCCAGAUUCUUUAAAUUGUGCAUUUUAAAUCCCAUUAUUCACUGUCUGCUGCAUGUUUGGCAGAUUGGCACAAAACUGUUUUUUUUUUUAAAUAUAUAAUUCUUUCAGGCGUGACAAUGCAAAAACUGAUUGCGUUUAAGAUAUUUAAAAAAUAAAAUAAAAUAUGGAAGCAAAUUUGGCUCGCCAGACAAAAAUGAAAACAGUAAACAAGAACAGAGGCAGCAGCCUGGAGGAGAAAGUUUUCCAGCAAGAUUAGCGCAGAGCUGCAUGCCAAUGCAUGGCCGUAUAGGCUGCACUCAGGCUGAAAUGUGUGACAAAGUCUGCAAAUAUCCGUGUGACCCUUUGAGAACACACACUUUCAGCACAGCAGGAACAUGUGCUGCAAAAAUAUGCCAGAAAAAAAUGUAAAUAAAAUUCUGCCCUCUCAGAAGUGUUUUAAGUAACCACAUUUUAUUAUUCAGCAGUAAGAUUAAAAUUUGUUCAAAUAAAUGUAAGGAAAGAGAAGCAAAGAGUUCUUAAAAUGAUUAUUCUAGACAAAACAUAAUUUGCAUCAAAAUGAGAUCAGAUCAGUUUUGAAGUUUAGAAAAAAAAAUAGACACUUGUUGCCCUCUGCCAAACGGUGCUAUAACGGUGGCUGUUUUUUUUUUUUUUUUUAGCUCUUAUGAGUUGUUUUAAAGCAAACUCAAGUGUUAUUCUUGUUGCAGUAAAAUAGGAUCACGUGUAAAUAAUUGUUUUAACUUGUCAGAAAUAUCUUAAAAUUCACUCUUUUCCAGCUUUUUGCAAAUUUUUUAAGAGUGGAAAACAAAGCGUAACAAAUUCUUUACUUGGCUGAAUCUCUUCAAAUAAUGAUGAAAAAAAGAGUUCUGCUGAGACAUAACAGCAAUUUUAAGCAUUUUCUUGCAAUACAACGAUAUGUGCUGCAAAAAGGAGAUUUCCGUCUUUGCAUAUUGUUUUGAAUGAAAGAGGGGGUGGGGGGGCAACACCCGCCAUUUUCUGAUGGGUCUCAACACACAACAAAAUCUGAGCAGAAAACAAUAUGUAUAUUUUUUUUCACAUUUUUCUCAUAGUUUUGUAAAACACCUUAAUGCAACAGAAACCCUUCUGCUUCCACCUUAACUGCAGCUGCCUUAACGCAAAGAUUGCUUGCAUCAGUUCAGUUACUGCAAGACUCUCCUUCAACAUGGCGUUCACAGCCAGUGUUCCCUCACUCUCUGGCUGUCCGAAGCGGUCAGUCGCAGGGUUUAAAUGGUGCUAAAUUAAAUACAUAUAUAUAUAUGUAUAUACACGGAAAGAAAAGGAUUGGUUUUAAAUAUAUAUAUAUAUAUUUUAAAUGUACAGUAAAAUAAAAGCAGUCUCACCGGAAAACAGAAGCUCUGGACUCACUGUAGCCUAAAGGGGGUUUGUUUGCGCUUUGGAGACGCAGACUAUAUCUUGGAGAGAGGCCAAUAACGGCUCAAAGUUGGGCUAUAAGCUGCGUUUUACUUAAACAAUCCACCUCCCCCCUCUUUUUCCUCCUCCCUCAGCCCUUUCCCCUUAGAAAUAGUCCCCCCCCCCCCCCCGCCAAAAAAGCAAAACGUGCAAAAGCAGCUUGAUUUCUUUGUCUAAUCUACAGCAAGCGCACGGGUCUUCCCCGCACAGGAUGCAGCUUUGCUCUGAAACUUUACGUUAGUGUGCAGCCCCUAUGGAAUUUGCCCUGAAACUCGGAAGAAGGAGACGUGGGGGAGGGCGGGGAGACUUUUUCUGUACAUUCCUCAGCGAUACAUUCACUACUCCUCCUGCAGAGUCUCCCCACACAAACACACACACACACACACACCCACACCCCCACACACACACCCAGAGUCAGAGAGAGGCUGCAGCCAUGCAUCAGUUCAUUUAAACCGACAGGGCGAGGAGAGAGAGUGCAAAUGGCUGCUGUCUAUACAUCCUGGAGCAACACAAAGAGCAAAAUCUGACACUUUCCAACCGACGGAGCAACUCUGCGUGGGCUCCAUUGUUUUGGAUAGCGGUGGAAAUUAUUAAAGAUUAACACCUUGGGGGGAGGGGGGGGGUGUUUUUGCCUACAUUGUUUAAACGCUAUUUAAAUAGCUUACACGGAUCGACAGGGAAUAAAUGUCUUAAUUUGAAUUUGAUGAAAUAAUUCUUAUGAGACUUUAUGGGAGUUGCAAACUUCGCUAGACGUAUCCUGUAUUCAAAAGUUUUAAGGAUAUUUAAUUAAAUGCGUUCUCUUUAUUAUUAUUAUUAUUAUUGUUAUUAUUAUUUAAAUAACCCUGCUUAACGAGAGCAGCCGCAGGGAAAGUAAAGGGCGGCGGGAACUUGUUGAAAAAGUUGAGAACCGUUAGAAAAAGCAGCCCGGAUCUGGCGUGUUUCGUUCCAUCUUUAGGGUUUACGGCGGAGCCGAGCGGAGGAAACGCGGCCGGAGACGCACAGUUGGCGCGCUGAUUCAUAUAGAAUAGUCGAAGCCGGGGAGCCAAUGAGCGAGCGCGGCUGAGGCCGAGCCGGCAGCGGUAGCGCGAGGAGGCUCCGCGCCGCGCUGAUUGGUCGAGCAGGUUAGCCAAUCGGAAGGCGCGGUGUGUUUGCUCAGGAGCAGGGAGAAGGGGAGGAAGAGGAGGAGUACCCUCAGAGGCAGACAUGGCCCCCAGAGUCUGAGCCGCUGGAUGAAGGGCCCACUGAAGCAACACUUCCCCUUUGUAACCUGCUUUUAGAUGAGUAUGCACAUGGAGAUAAACACUGCAGGGAUAUACAGUAGCUUUCAAGAGUCUACACGCCCCAGGUUUUGUGACAUAAAAAAGUAUUUUCAUUACUUUUUUUCCCCCCCACCAUAUAAUUUGAAAUUUACUAUGUCUAAUUUAACUUAUAAACAAACAAAUCUGUAAGCAGGACUACUAUAAAGAAUGAUAAAACAUAUGCAACCCAAUAGCACACGUGUACAAACCCUUAAUACUUUGAUGAAGCCUAUUCAAUUUCAAUAUUCUGUCUUCGUUGGUCGGAACCUAUCAUCAAACACUCAUUUGCAAAAGUUCAGCAACUCCAUCAGAUUGUGAGUACACCUUCCAUCCAGUCAAUAAUCCAGGUUAUGGUCUGUGAAAUUUAAUUCUAAAUUCUGUCUUUUUAAUUUCAAAACAUACACAUUUUUUUUCCCGUUAUCUCUUUAUUCUGAUGUAUAACUCCACUCUGAAGCUAACGAAUGAAACUCCUUGUCAUCUUCAACGCCUAAAACGUGAAAUGACUAGGUCAGAAAUGACUAGUAUCUUCAACCAUUCAUAAUUUUAACCUCAGAUCUCGGUUCUGCCACCGCCGUGUUUCACUGUGGCGGUGGUGUUCUUUUGUUCAUGUUCACUGUUGUUAUUGUGACAAAAUGUCACAAUAACAGCCACGUUAGGGCGAUAACUUUAGAGUCAUCGCCCUAAAGUUAAAGUUUGGCUUUAAUCAAUUAUGAGACAUGGUUCCACAAACUUUCAGAAAAUAUUUUUGCUAUUUUUUUGAUGAUUUAUUUUUUUUGGAAGGAAAGACUCAGAAAAGUUUUACUGCCCUGACUCUUUGUCCAAGCAUGAGGAGAACAGCGAACAUUUUUGUCAUGUCUAGAAAAAAAAAAAAACUGAACUUUGCAUAAAUUUCUGCCGCUUCAUCAGGGCUACUUCCAGUCUCUGUGCCAGUUUCAAUCCUUUCAGCCAUUUUGAGGAAACCUUCAGUUUCCCAUAAUUUGUUCCACUAGUCAUAACUGUCUUUAUUGUCCCGUUGUUUUUACAUAGUGCAGUAGAUUUUUGUAUCUUUCUCCUGGCUGAUUUGUACAAGACCAUUAUUUAUCCGUUGCAAACUCUCACCAAACUGAGGCUUUCGCUAAAUAAUUCAAUGAGCAAAUGUUACACAAAUUCUUCUGGGACAGCUGAGCUUUAUUUUGGUGUAAGCGAGAUUCAACAAGUUGGGCAUCAGUGUGUACCAUGGAAGGCUAAAGGCUGACCCUCGGCAAAAAGGCGUACUUUUAUUUUUGUUCAUUUUUUUUCAGCUGAACUGCACAGGUUGUAGGUAGAAAUAAGGCUUGGAAAAUAUUUUGAAAUUAUUUAUCAUAAUAUAAAUUUUUGCAUCACAACAACCUGCUGUAUUAACUGGGCGUAUUGAUCAUUUAUUGCUUAACAGUAACCAACACCAAUUAUCCAGCAGCUAACAGGUCAGGCAUUAGCAAGGGCUUUCUGACACAAUAACCCUUAACCCCAGUUGUUGUUUUUUUUGUUUUGUUGUGUUUUGUUUUUUUUGGCACCAGUCACCUUUACUGAAGAGCUUUAGACAGUAAAGAAACGGGGAUGACAUGCAAUAAAUUGCCCAAAAUCAGGACUUAAACCCGGGACAAUCACCUCAAGAACUGUAGCCCCUACAAGUGGUGCAUGUGGUCUACCAUCUGAGCCACACAAACCCACGGCCCCAAGGUUUUUAAGAUCCCAAAAUCAUCUUUUGAAAUGUAUUUGUGAAUUGCGAACUCUGUUUUUUAUACAUUUCCAAAGAAAUUCAUAUCAAGUCAGGCAUUUUAAUCUGUUGGAUUUUUGUGCAGAGAACCAAAACACAACUACUUACAAGUGUCGCUUCAAGGAUGGCAAAUGUGACAACAGCAGGCUUUGGUUUCGAUGUAUUUCUACGGGUGCAUGACAUUGCCACAAACAAGUCUGGCAUAGUUGCAGUAUAAUUUCUGUUUUGUUUAUUUUAUUUAUUUAUUUUUUUGUAACAGAUAAAGAAAUUUAAAGAAAUUAUUACAUUUUUAAGAGAAUGUAUUUAGAAAAGACAAAAUAAAGCUAAAAAAAACUCUAUUUUAGUGAAGGUGUAAAAACUUUAAGUUUUUUUGUACCUAACUAACAAUCUGUUGUAAUUUGCUUAAGUUAAAAAGGCCUAUCGGUGGGCGGGCACCAAACAUGGGGUCCUCCUAAUUCCGGCCCUGAGUAUAGCCACUUUACUGUUUGACUUAAUAAACCAGUUUUUCUUUAAAGGCAGAUUUAUUUAAAAAGAAAAAUACGAUUGUAAUUAUUGCUGCAGUUCUAAAAUACAGUUUCAUCCAUUUUUACAAAAUAUUUGUUUUUGCUUGUAAAAUAAUUCCACCCAAGUCAACUCCUGCUUUUUUACUUAAAGGUGGUAAACUAGUUGUUUUGUACUCAGUUGAUUUUCCUAGAAUGCAAUGUAAAUCUGCGGAAACAUGAUCUAAACAAAUCAUACACCACAGAACUGAUAAUAGAGUAGCUUUGCUUUCAAAACCACUAAACCCACAGUGAUAUACAAGGCAUUGCUUUAGCAGUAAGUAACUAUUGUGAAUACACCUUGUUAGAAAGGUUAUUGAAUUUUGUCCACAUAAAAGUAGUUUCUCUGGAACUAUUUUUGUUUUUUUCUUUCUGAAAAGGAAAUUAACACAAAAACGACCUUGAAGAUUAUAGUAACUAUGGAUGGUUAUAUAGUAGCAAUGUAGCGUAGUCAUACAGGUACACGGGGAAAAGAAGGCGUGGAACAUAGUGCCGCCCUUACAAGUUGCCGCCCUGAGUGGUUGCCCAUGUCUCCCAUAUCAGAAACAGCCACAGAUCCAAAGAAUUAGUACAUCUCGCAGUAAAACAGACUAGCGCUUUUCUGAAUUUUAUAAAUUAAAAUGUCUGCAAAAUAUCAGUUAUUAUAUGUAAAUAAAAAGACAACAACCUUAGUGUCCAGAGUUAAAAAAAAAAAACUGUUGACAAAUCUUGCUGUGAAGGAUAUCAUAUUUCAAGUUCCUUGCAUUCACUCCAAAUAUAUUUGAGUGAAUGACCUCUCUUUGCAACUUAAUGCCUCAAUUUGAUAUGGAUUUUAGUGGCUGACAUGCUGAAGCACACAGAGAGCCCUGGAGAAAUCAUAUGGGGGGGGGGAGCAAUGGGUACACAAGCCUCAUUGACAGCACUAAGACCCUCCUCAUGGUUCUGAUUGGUUGUUUCUAGCUCCUCUGCCUGAAAGAAGGCAGACGAGCUAGAUUUUUUUCUCUCACAAAUUUCUGUGACAACAUAGUGACAAUUUCAAAAAAUAUGUA
Molecule: long non-coding RNA, 9348 nt
Organism: Xiphophorus hellerii (green swordtail)
Lineage: Eukaryota; Metazoa; Chordata; Actinopteri; Cyprinodontiformes; Poeciliidae
Exons: 2
Source: RefSeq, a predicted model, not a curated record